GCAGAGUAAGGCGAUAUGCGUUAAGUGCUUUCUGGACGGGGAGUUGUCAGAAAGACGAAAAGAAAUCUUGCGGUAUAUCGUCUGCAUCCCGCUGC
This 95-nucleotide non-coding RNA is filed under the name Massilicoli timonensis. RNAcentral's name for it is "THF riboswitch". It matches the Rfam family "THF (Tetrahydrofolate) riboswitch aptamer". Rfam says of the family: THF riboswitch presents a pseudoknot that joins P1-P2 and the loop of P3 and two THF binding. The record is from RNAcentral. Lineage: Bacteria; Bacillati; Bacillota; Erysipelotrichia; Erysipelotrichales; Erysipelotrichaceae.